RNAcentral lists this transfer RNA (69 nucleotides) under Gammaproteobacteria bacterium. Its description in RNAcentral is "tRNA-Arg". It matches the Rfam family "tRNA". From Rfam's summary of the family: Transfer RNA (tRNA) molecules are approximately 80 nucleotides in length. Lineage: Bacteria; Pseudomonadati; Pseudomonadota; Gammaproteobacteria. The record is from RNAcentral.
GCCCGUAGCUCAGCUGGAUAGAGCGCUGCCCUCCGGAGGCAGAGGCCAGGGGUUCGAAUCCCUUCGGGC